Molecule: ribosomal RNA, 408 nt
Filed under: uncultured bacterium
Lineage: Bacteria
Description: bacterial SSU rRNA
Rfam family: Bacterial small subunit ribosomal RNA
Source: RNAcentral
UGGGGAAUAUUGCGCAAUGGGCGGAAGCCUGACGCAGCGACGCCGCGUGGGGGAUGACGGCCUUCGGGUUGUAAACCUCUUUCGGCCCCGACGAAGCGUUUGUGACGGUAGGGGUAGAAGAAGCACCGGCCAACUACGUGCCAGCAGCCGCGGUAAUACGUAGGGUGCGAGCGUUGUCCGGAAUUAUUGGGCGUAAAGAGCUCGUAGGCGGUCUGUCGCGUCGAUCGUGAAAACUUGGGGCUUAACCCUGAGCUUGCGGUCGAUACGGGCAUGACUGGAGUUCGGCAGGGGAGACUGGAAUUCCUGGUGUAGCGGUGAAAUGCGCAGAUAUCAGGAGGAACACCGGUGGCGAAGGCGGGUCUCUGGGCCGAUACUGACGCUGAGGAGCGAAAGCGUGGGGAGCGAACA